This is a long non-coding RNA of Dreissena polymorpha, 1025 nucleotides long. RefSeq lists it as uncharacterized. The record is from RefSeq and is a predicted model, not a curated record. NCBI's taxonomy places the organism in Eukaryota, Metazoa, Mollusca, Bivalvia, Myida, Dreissenidae. The transcript has 4 exons.
GGAUUUUGUGCUUCACCUCGAUUGUAGUUGCCAGUCGACAAAUUUUAGUUGUUUUAGGCGACUAUAUUUGUAUCUGUAGUAAUGGACAAAGGAAUGACAUUUGUGAUUCGUUAAGUAGUCUAAACGUUGACUGGAUUACCUUAGUAUAAUUAUUCGUUUAGGAAACACUAUAUAUACAUAAGUCCAUAUAUGUUCCCGAAACAUUUUUUAAUUUACUAGUAAAUGUAAUCCUUGAUAAAAACAUCUUGGAACAUAUUUUCAUUUUUGUUAGCUUAAUGUCAAAUUUGAUAUUACAAAUGUGUCAUCCUGCAUUAUAAUUCAAAGUUUUCUCCAAUAUGGUAAGUGCCAUGGUAAUGUUGUUCACCAUGUUUUAUACAAAAUGUAAGUUAUAUUUGACUAACCUCGGUAUUUGGUUACUUCAUGGUGUGCGAUACGUAUUCAACACAAUGCAAAUGUAUUUAAGUCUGUUUUGCUUAAAGAUGUCAACAAACACAACUAGUGUUGGUCAUCUUGAGAACAAUAGCUGCGCCAUUCAGGCAAACUAUGUUUUGGACAAAAGAACCAAAGCUUGGUAUGCCAUCAUGUUCCACGAUCAAGUACGUUUUGUGCAUAAAGGCUCUAGACAGAAGAGCGAUGUUGUACUGGAAGUCCGUUAGAACACGGUGGUACAACGCAAACAAUUACAAAUGCGGUUACCACAUCUUCACCAACACAGUCCUCGACUGUCGCGUCCACUAAAAGCGUUACCUCUGCUGUCUCGUAUGUUCUAUUGCAUCGAAUGCAAGUAAAUCAACCGCUGAAAUAGUUCAUUACGGCUGCGCACCAACUGUCUUCUUGCAUGCUGCUUCGCACCAUGGUAAACUGUUCACGAUUGGUCAGACAUGCUACGAGCUUGUGACGGAGACAAAAUCUUGAUCCAGCGCUGAAAGUGACUGCAAAAGUCGUGGCGGACAUUUAGUCGACAUUGCAAACGACGAACAACAGAAUAAAAUCUACGAGAUCGUGAGACAGUAUCAUGGUGACAA